This is a non-coding RNA of Pantherophis guttatus, 565 nucleotides long. NCBI's taxonomy places the organism in Eukaryota, Metazoa, Chordata, Lepidosauria, Squamata, Colubridae. The record is from RefSeq and is a predicted model, not a curated record.
GACAGGUUCGCCCAGGAGGGUCUCAGCCCGGCCUACUGCGCCCCAUCAAGCCAGGACAGGUUCGCCCAGGAGAGUCUCAGCCCCGCCUAGUGCCUCCCAUCCAUCCAGGACAGGUUCGCCCAGGACAGUCCCAACCCGGCCUAGUGCCUCCCAUCCAGCCAGGACAGGUUCGCCCAGGAGAGUCUCAGCCCGGCCUAGUGCCUCCCAUCUAUCCAGGACAGGUUCGCCCAGGAGAGUCCCAGCCAGGCCUAGUGCCUCCCAUCUAUCCAGGACAGGUUCGCCCAGGAGAGUCCCAGCCAGGCCUAGUGCCUCCCAUCUAUCCAGGACAGGUUCGCCCAGGAGAGUCUCAGCCAGGCCUAGUGCCUCCCAUCUAUCCAGGACAAGUUCGCCCAGGAGAGUCCCAGCCAGGCCUAGUGCCUCCCAUCUAUCCAGGACAGGUUCGCCCAGGACAGUCACAACCUGGCCUAGUGCGUCCCAUCCAGCCAGGACAGGUUCGCCCAGGACAGUCCCACCCGGCCUAGUACGCCCCAUCCAGCCAGGCCAGGUUCGCCCAGGAGAGUCUCAG